Molecule: long non-coding RNA, 538 nt
Organism: Camelus dromedarius (Arabian camel)
Lineage: Eukaryota; Metazoa; Chordata; Mammalia; Artiodactyla; Camelidae
Exons: 2
Source: RefSeq, a predicted model, not a curated record
CCAAAUCUCAUUUCUGCCUGUUGUGGGACCUCAGGCAGCCUAUUCAAUUGCUCUGAGCUUCGUUUUCACCUUCUGUAAAUGGGGAUGGUGAUAGCACCCGCUUCAGAAGGUACACUGCCCUAAUACACGGGGUAUUCCCACAGACUUCAUCAUUGUUCCAGCGAUAUCCCAGCGUGCCUGCUGUGUGCCAGAGACUGCGCCUGAGGCUAGGAAUACAGAGGUCAAUAAGCCAGCUGGAUUUUCAAAGAUACAUAUGUGGCUUUGGAAUGUUGGUUUGCUGCCUCCCCGCCUCCACUUGUGUGAUAAUGAUGCUGCUAAAGCUGUUCCAUGCCUAUUGGCCGAAUACCCCAAGCUUGUACUUUACCCUACAAAACCUCAUGCGCACGUCUUGGAGGUGCUCAGAGCUUUGGAGCAGAAGCCCCUCUGAGCCUGCCGGCGUAAUACAUCUGAGUACUCCAACCCUCCGAGUGGUGCUUGUUUCUUGACUGGCCUGUCGUUUCCGUAACAAAUAAAGAACCACGAAUCUCAGGAUCCAACA